UUCUUGUUCAUGAAAAUAUCUAACACCGCAGCUCCUUUCUCUGGAACCUGAGUGUUGCAGCCUGCAUUUCGUGCUUUCAGCAUCUAACUGAAUCCAUGCUUUCCUCCCACGCCCCUGGGGGAGGGGAGUGCAUUUUAUACUCACUGAUAGUGGAAGACUCCCUUUCUGUUUGAACUUGCAAUAAAAUCAGCUUCUUCCUUUGCAUAAAACAACGUCAUCUAGACACUUCCUGUGAAAGAUAAUCUUUCAGCUGGCAGCAGCUGAGGACCAUUUUUAUUCAAUUGCUUUGUGACUGGUCUCUCGUGACCCACACUUGCAUACAGCUUGGAGGAAGACCUGGCUAUCCAUGUGAGCUGCUGUUCAUGGGCUGGAGUGGGCAGAGAUUCCACGGGACGGAGAUGCACGCAUGGAGAUGCAACUGACAGGAAGGGAGACGGGAUCUGAAGAAUAAAGAAUCAUCCAGAAGAUUUAUCUAUCAGGAGACGGGGGUGCUAAUCUGGGUUCUCAGCUUCCUUUUUGGGAUACCUGCUUCUAUUCUGCCUAGAGCUGUGAAAGGAAGGAGUGGAGGAGGACAAAAUUAGAUAUCCCAGGAAUAGAAGGCUCAUUGGAGUACAAUAUCAUCUGAAAAUCCAAGAAACUUGAAUCUUAUCUGACAAUAUUCUCAGGAGAUCCUCAGGAUGUUUCUCCUAGGGUCAUGAGACAGGAGGAAGCAUGCUUGGAACAACAUGUAAUAAAUGGAGUUGUGGACAUAUCUCACAUAUGAUAGGAAAUACCAGUCUGAAGCUCAGCAGAGAGAUCUAAAUGGACAAUACAGAUCAGGAGGGCUUUAGAAUACAGUCAUAGAUGAAACCAUGGGCUUACAUGGGAAAUACCACAAUGAGAAUACAGGUUCAGGGCAUUACCCUGGGUAAUACCAAAGUUUGGCCAACAACAGUAAGCCUACAAAAGUGGUAAGAAGUGACCACAGAGAACAUUUGAAAACUCAAAAGAGAAAUGUCAAGGAGGCUAAAAGAAGAGCAGUGAAGAUUCCAGCUGCAGCUGGAACGAGAAUCAGAUUUUUAAUAUGACUUUUUCCAGAUGUUAAAUAUUUGGGAUUAAAUACCAGAGAGAUCCAAUGCAUAUGAACUGGGAUGUGUCUAUUGGCUUUAGCAAAAUGUCACUAAUCAGAGGGAAGUUUCCUUACAAGAGCUGACAGAGAAAGGGUGAUCAGUACUGAAUAAAAUUUGGGCUUUGAGUAUUUUGGCUUUCACCUGGGAAAUAACUGAGUCUGUUUAUUCUAUGUUAAGAGUCAAAGGGAGGUACUGAGGGGAAUGCCAGUGAGCAGGGAGGUUAAAGAAAAUAGAGGGGGGGCCGGGCGCAGUGGCUCAAGCCUGUAAUCCCAGCACUUUGGGAGGCCGAGGCGGGUGGAUCACAAGGUCAAGAGAUCGAGACCAUCCUGGUCAACAGGGGGAAACCCCGUCUCUACUAAAAAUACAAAAAAUUAGCUGGGCACGUGGUGCGUGCCUGUAAUCCCAGCUACUCAGGAGGCUAAGGCAGGAGAAUUCCCUGAACCCAGGAGGCGGAGGCUGCGGUGAGCCGAGAUCGCGCCAUUGCACUCCAGCCUGGGUAACAACAGUAAAACUCCAUCUCAAA
Long non-coding RNA from Callithrix jacchus (white-tufted-ear marmoset), 1632 nucleotides. RefSeq lists it as uncharacterized. NCBI's taxonomy places the organism in Eukaryota, Metazoa, Chordata, Mammalia, Primates, Cebidae. The record is from RefSeq and is a predicted model, not a curated record.